Molecule: ribosomal RNA, 301 nt
Filed under: uncultured bacterium
Lineage: Bacteria
Description: partial 16S ribosomal RNA
Rfam family: Bacterial small subunit ribosomal RNA
Source: RNAcentral
CAGUAGCCACGGUAAUACGUAGGUGGCAAGCGUUGUCCGGAAUUAUUGGGCGUAAAGGGCUCGCAGGCGGUUUCUUAAGUCUGAUGUGAAAGCCCCCGGCUCAACCGGGGAGGGUCAUUGGAAACUGGGAAACUUGAGUGCAGAAGAGGAGAGUGGAAUUCCACGUGUAGCGGUGAAAUGCGUAGAGAUGUGGAGGAACACCAGUGGCGAAGGCGACUCUCUGGUCUGUAACUGACGCUGAGGAGCGAAAGCGUGGGGAGCAAACAGGAUUAGAUACCCCAGUAGUCCCUGUCUCUUAUAC